RNAcentral lists this transfer RNA (63 nucleotides) under Haemaphysalis sulcata. RNAcentral describes it as "tRNA-Met". The record is from RNAcentral. Lineage: Eukaryota; Metazoa; Arthropoda; Arachnida; Ixodida; Ixodidae.
AGUAAAGUAAGCUAAAAACUAAGCUAGUGGGCUCAUACCCCAAAAAUGAUAAUUCCUUUAUUA